GAUGAACGCUGGCGGCGUGCCUAAUACAUGCAAGUCGAGCGAACGGACGAGAAGCUUGCUUCUCUGAUGUUAGCGGCGGACGGGUGAGUAACACGUGGAUAACCUACCUAUAAGACUGGGAUAACUUCGGGAAACCGGAGCUAAUACCGGAUGAUAUUUUGAACCGCAUGGUUCAAAAGUGAAAGACGGUCUUGCUGUCACUUAUAGAUGGAUCCGCGCUGCAUUAGCUAGUUGGUAAGGUAACGGCUUACCAAGGCAACGAUGCAUAGCCGACCUGAGAGGGUGAUCGGCCACACUGGAACUGAGACACGGUCCAGACUCCUACGGGAGGCAGCAGUAGGGAAUCUUCCGCAAUGGGCGAAAGCCUGACGGAGCAACGCCGCGUGAGUGAUGAAGGUCUUCGGAUCGUAAAACUCUGUUAUUAGGGAAGAACAUAUGUGUAAGUAACUGUGCACAUCUUUACGGUACCUAAUCAGAAAGCCACGGCUAACUACGUG
RNAcentral lists this ribosomal RNA (497 nucleotides) under uncultured bacterium. RNAcentral describes it as "partial 16S ribosomal RNA". It matches the Rfam family "Bacterial small subunit ribosomal RNA", at positions 28 to 507 of the family's 1533-position model. The record is from RNAcentral.